GCCCGUCUAGCUCAGUCGGUAGAGCAUGAGACUCUUAAUCUCAGGGUCGUGGGUUCGAACCCUACGUUGGGCG
Molecule: transfer RNA, 73 nt
Filed under: Araneus ventricosus
Lineage: Eukaryota; Metazoa; Arthropoda; Arachnida; Araneae; Araneidae
Rfam family: tRNA
About the family: Transfer RNA (tRNA) molecules are approximately 80 nucleotides in length. Their secondary structure includes four short double-helical elements and three loops (D, anti-codon, and T loops). Further hydrogen bonds mediate the characteristic L-shaped molecular structure. tRNAs have two regions of fundamental functional importance: the anti-codon, which is responsible for specific mRNA codon recognition, and the 3' end, to which the tRNAs corresponding amino acid is attached (by aminoacyl-tRNA synthetases). tRNAs cope with the degeneracy of the genetic code in two manners: having more than one tRNA (with a specific anti-codon) for a particular amino acid; and 'wobble' base-pairing, i.e. permitting non-standard base-pairing at the 3rd anti-codon position.
Source: Rfam by way of RNAcentral